Molecule: long non-coding RNA, 10878 nt
Organism: Cavia porcellus (domestic guinea pig)
Lineage: Eukaryota; Metazoa; Chordata; Mammalia; Rodentia; Caviidae
Exons: 2
Source: RefSeq, a predicted model, not a curated record
CUGAGUUUGUUCAUUUUGCUCAAGAUUGCUUUGCUGGUGAGGAGUUUCCCUGGUGUUAGGACUUACUUUCUGGUUCCGGGAAAACUGACACUGACACUGAUAAGAACUGACGUGAUUCUGGAGAUCAUGUUCAGUGGUCAGCACUAACGAACCAGAUCAUUAGACCUCCUGCUGCAAUCUGAGACUCUUACCCUUUGACUGACAUCCCUUCUUUCCCCACUCUUCUCCUUGUCCGGCCGCUGGUAACCCUCCUGCCUGGGUGUCAGCACUAAUGCUCCCUCCGAUCCAAAGACGUGGCGCAUUUUUCCCUCGGUGGUGUCUUCAUGUUCUUUCGUCAGCGUCUUGUCGUUUUCAGAGUGCAGAUCUUUUAGCUCCUUGCAUAAAUGUAUUCCUCAAUAUUUUUAGUAAAUGGGACUAUUCCCUUAAAUUUCUCUGCAGACAGUUCAGUGGUGUAAAGCAGAAAUGCUACUUAUUUUUGUAUAUUGGUUUUAUGACCUGCAAGUUACUGAAUUCAUCUGUUCUGGUUGCUUUUUUUUUUAAUUUUCAAGAAUUUUCUACACAUAAGCUCAUGCUACCCCCAAACAGAAAGCGUCAUACAGCUUCCCUUGCUGUGUGGGUGCAUUUUAUUUUUUCCUGCUGCCUAACUGCUCUGGCUGUGACCUUCCAGGAUGAUGUGGAGUGACCUCCUGGUCUCCAAGGAGACGCCCUCAGCUCGCCUCUGCUCCGACUCCACCUGGGCCUGGCCCCGGGGGGCUCCAUCGUGGUGAGGUUUCGGCUUACUUUGUCUUCUGCUGGUUCCAGCGGUGUAAUGUUGGGUCAUUUAUCUGGGAUUGCUCUGUUUCUGCUUGUCGCUCGGUCGGUCCUGCUGUGGCUGUGCCCAUAAGUCUGGAUAUUAUUGGACCUCGGAUGUACAUGAGAUGUGGGUCUUGGGUUGUCAGAGUGGAUUUCCCUCCUCAUGAAGAUGACUCGAAGCUUCCUUGCUGUCCUCUGCCUCUGGGAGGGCUCCUGCCGGCCACCUUUCCUGGGGAGGACCUCUGUGAUGGCUCUCCCUGGAAGAAGACAAGGUGUCUCCACUAUCAAGCUUUUCCUGCUUUCCUGCACUGACUGUACAGAGGUGGCUGGGACAGUCCUCUCCCCCCUCAGCUGGCUUUAAGCAUUGUAAAUGUAUCUGGGGCAGGUGCUGAUGUGUGACCUUUGAAGCAAUGCUACAGGUCAGGGAUGCCUAAUCUACAGCUCCCUGCUACUGAGUGGGAGCUAGGCUGAGAGGCAGCUGCACUGUGGGCUAGGACUGAGCCUUGAGAAAGAGGCAGGGACGCCCCAGGGCAAGAAAGUUAGACAUCAGAGCUGAAGCAACUGGCCCAAAACACAAGCUACUUCCUCAAACCGAAUUAUGCAGAUUCCUCCUGACUUAGAGGCACUUGUUACUGAAUCAGCUAUCUUGUGCAUGUCACACAGGUGCCACUGUAUCCCUUACCCAGCCCUUACCCUGCCACUCUCACAGCCACCCAACCUCGAGCCACCCCUUCCUCAAAGAUUCCUAAGUGAACUCAGGGUCCCCUGGGCUCCCCACAACUGUGCAUACAUAUUUGUCUAUUUACUCUGUUUGCCUGUCUCUUAAUUCCUGUGGCUGCAGUGGAAGUGGUAGAUCACACACUAGAAUUCCAGUAACUUUUCCCUGGCUUACAAAUAUAAACUCCCCUGGAUGGUGACGAGCUCUGGGCUGGGCUCCUCUGGCUCUUCCCACUUUUGGCUGCAUUGGAGGGUCUUCUCAGCUCCUGCCUCACAGAAUCCAAGGACUUCUCUUUUUUCUUCAUAUUCUUUGCACUUAGGGACUUUAAAAAAAUGUAUACAACUUUUUGUGCAUUAGGAAAGUUUUCAAACUUCAGUUGCUGAGUUAACUCAUUCUGUUUUUUUCUUUUCUUUUCUUUUUUAGUACCAAGGAUUGAACUCACAACCUUGCACUUGCCAGGCAAGUGCUUGUGCCAUGGAGCUAAAUCCCUGGCAAGUAUCUGACCCUGGGUUUGUCUAUAUUAAGCCAGUGACGAAGAUGGUACAUAGCUACUGAGUCACGUUCCAGUGAGUUUUGUUCACAAUUGUAGCUCAUUUAUUCACUUUGCAGACCUCUUGGUGCUUUGCUUUUUGAGCCAGGGUUGCGUACCAUGCAUAGUUCAGUCUGGUCUUGAACUCACUCCUGCCUCAGCCUCCUGAGUGUCAGGACAGUAGCCCUGCCCACCAGACACAGCUCACCUCACACCUUGCUAGCUCCAUCUCCAGGCUCUCCCCCUCCGUCUCCUGCGUCUGCUCCCUAUCCUCCUCUCCCCAAGUUACGUCUUGGAGUUCACUUGUCAGUUUCAGGCUCCUUGCUCUUCUGAGUUUUAGGGGCGGUGAGGAGCUUUUGGUGGGAGGUCAGGGGAUCCAGCUCUGGCUUCUUCCUGGUGGAGUCUCAGUGGCUCAGUGGCUCCCUUGACCCAAGCAUCACACAGCAGCCCUUUGCCCCUUCCAGUGGGACAUGGAAAGGAGGCUGCUCUCGCUGCCCCUCUGGGUCCACCCGGGUUUUGUAAAAUGCCCUCCUCCAAUGUCUUUUGCAGGCUCUUUGGCUGUUCCUUUUGUUUCAGGCCAGGAACUUUGCCAGGCUUGGGGGAAAUGGUGAGCAGAGCAGAUCUUGCCAUCUCUGAAAGGGAAAUGGUCAGGAAGAGGACGGAGUAUAAUCCUGGUGGCCUGUGCCAAGGAAUGUCUUGCCCCCCCCCGGAGGAUGGUGGCCAUGACAGUGACAGCUGGCCAGGUUCUGUCCAGCUAGAGAGUUCUAGGUUCCCUGCCAAAUUUGUUGACCCCCAAAUAACAAGAACUAGAAAUCAGAAUUUCCAAAGCCGAGGUCGGAAGACCUCGCAACUCACACAGGGACUUGCACAGCCUAGAAGGGGAAGUCAAGGCCUGGUGAGGCCAUCCUACCCUUGCUCAAGCUAAUCACUCACUGAUUACUUAUAAGUGCUUCCAGGGGGCGACAAAGGGCCACAGAGGAGCUGGAUGGUCCUCCCAGCCCAGCUGUCUCACUUGCCGUAGGUUCCAUAGAUUUCCAUAGGGUUCCAUCAGUUUCCAUAGCGGUCUACAGAUUUGGAUUCAGACAAUGAUUCAGUAUGAAUCACAUCACUAAUGGAUAAAACUUUCUCUAAUGAACAGCAGCAAAAACUAUUAUGUGAAGUAACAUCCUCAUUUGGAAAUCUUCCCUUCAAUAAAACUAAAUUCUGACCCAUGUUCGUGGUGCAGGGAAGUUUGGAGCUACUCUUCAGCUGGAGAUCUCCGGCUCCUGCCAGGCCUCAGCCAGGUGAGGCCCUGAGGCUAAUCCAGAGCUCACAGCCUCUGAGGCCUUGACUGGAGCCACUGCAAGUUUCCACCCCUGUGGGAGACAAUUUGAGUGACUCCCCUUGAGUAUAGAACAACUGCUGCAACUUUGAUUAUAUGGAGGCUUAUUUCCGUAUACCGACGUGUACAGAGCUGACUGUGGUAUUUCCUUCUGUAUUCUAUUGGCUCUAAGCAUUGCAAACAAGGCCAGCCGAGGUACUGGGAUGUAAUCUCCAAAGCCAUCCAACAGUCUCCUGUUUCCUCACACAGUGUUCUCUGUAAAAGAUGAGUGCAGCGGGAUGGCAGAGCCAGUCAGCUCCAGGAAUGUCAACUGGGUAUGAGCCUCAGGGUAAAGAGGCUAUGAGUCCCCAGGGCACAGAAGUUCCCAUAUCAGAAACAGAAGCAACAGCUUCCUAAAACAAUUCAGUAGCUACCUUAAUUGAAUUAUGCAAAUUAAUCCUUCUGUAUAUCCUUAUCUCUGCAUUUUGCAGAGAUGCUUUUCUCCCUACCUGGCCAGCCAGCUCAAGUUACUCAUGGAGUUCCCCCAUCCUCGCUGUCACUCAUCCCUGACCCACCUGCUUCUUCACAAGAUAAUAAAUUCUGGGAGAGGCCUAGGAUCAGGGCCUUUGUCCACACAUCCUCACAGGGAUUGGACUCAGUACCCCUUGGCUGCCCAUAACUUUGAAUCUGUCUUGGUGUCUUUACUCUCACCAUGGGUUGCACUGGAGGUGGUAGAUGGGAAUUAACUUGCUGGGAUUCCAAUCACAUCUCAAUGGGAUUAUAAAUAUAAUUUUUGGAUUGUGAGGAAGACUGGAAAAGGGAUUACAUUACUUGGAUGACCAUACACAAUAUUUGGGAUUACAAUAUGCCCUGAGUUCAUGACUGCCAUCUCUUUUCUGACUUGGAGGAGGAUCCCCUGAGCCUGCAGGAAAGGUUCUUGGAGGUCACUGUCUCAGGAAUCCAGGAACACAAGGCUGAACACAAACCUAGCUCUGUGGCUUCCAAGGAGCUCAGAACUUGCUGGGGGAGGAGGAAAACUUACCCUGCGCCCCUUUGCCGAGAGUGGGCUAAGGAGGAAGCCGGGCCAGGGCUGCCUGGACCUCCCGACCUUACAGUUCCGGUCCCACUGCUGUGUCCCUGGAUGUCUCUCCUGCUCUUACCUCACUUCGGGUCCGGCCAUGUCAUACGCUUCCCAUCCCUCCCACCCCCUCUCUUCUGGGCCACUUGGACGCCCUAACUUUCUCUGCACAUCUCCUUGUUUUGGGGGCUCUUUAUUCUGCCUGGACAUCUCCAAGGAACUGGCAAGAAAUGAAGAACUCUGAGGUCAGAUUUUCCUUUAGGAGACAAGAAGUUUCCAGAUGUCUUUAGCCUCAAGCAUCAGCCACCACCCAACCUCUCCUCAGCUCUGGGAAAGGGACAGGAUAUGCAGACUCUGGUGUGGAAAGGCCAAGUCCAGCUUUGUUUCCACAGGAAAGGGUGGAGAGGUCCAGUGCUGGGAGGGAUGGAGCAAGCCUAAGCCAGAUGUGGUGGUGCAUGCCUGUAAUCCCAGGCCUGAGGAGACUGAGGCAGGAGGAUCACUGUGAGUUAGAGGCAAGCUCUGACUUAAAAAUCAAACCAAAGAAAACAAGCCUGGACAGGUCUAUUGUGUCCCUGUGUCCUUUCCUGCACUAUGCCUUCUAUCAACAACACACUUGCACUCAGGAAGAUGGCAAUUUGAGAGAUGAGGCCCUGGCCUACACCUUCAACUCUGGAGACUGGGUGACCUGGGGUGAGUGUUCCUGCAUCAUUGUGAGCCCUGGGAGGGGUUAAGAUCUUUGCUCCACAGGCCAGGGAACUUUGCAGCUUCCUGUCGCACUGGACCGGCUCAGCAGAGCUAGAGCCUGCCUGCCCCACCCCCAGUGACCCUCUCUCAUUCUGGGGAACUGGGUGGCCAGAGUCCCAGAAGCUGAGAACAUAGAAGAGGAUUUUCAACAGGUCCAGGGGAAGCCUUGUAAUAACACUUGAAACACGGAAAUAUAGGAAAAUGACAAAAUGAAAGACCAAAAUACAAUCUCAAGCCUCCAGCCCAUCCCAAGAAACCUUAGGAGCUAUGUACAUAGAAGAAAACAUAUGCCAUACACCUGAAAUACCUGAAAUAAUAGCAACUGAAAUAAAGAAGCAACUCCGGGAAGCUUUAAAGGAAUUCAAACUAGAAAUAAUCUCCCAGGUAAAAGAAGAAAUGAUAAAAGAAAUAAAAGAGAUGCUGAACAUAUCUAAAGAAGACACAGUUAAAAAAUUGGAAGAACCAAACAAAAAGAAUCUCUGGAUGAACAAUAUAAGAAACAAACAGAAUACAUGAAGCAGAUGCAAAGAGAUAUACAGGAAAUCAAAAAUUCCAUUGAAAGUUGUAAAAACUGCCUCAAUGAAAGUGAAGAUAGAAUUUCAGAAUUCGAAGACAAGACUGCAGCUAGUGAACAGGAAAGGAAAGAUUUUUUUUGAAAUAUUUUUUAAAAAUAACAAGCAAUCAGGAAAUACCAAUUCAAAGAGUGCAAGAUGAUGCAAAGAAAAACAACAUAAGAUUUAUAGGGAUAAAUGAAAAAGAAGGAGACAACACAAAGGAUGUCAAGAGGAUAUUUAGAGAAGUAAUAGCUCAAGAUUUCCCAAACAUGAGAAUGGAAACUGACAUCAGGAUCAGUGAAGCAUAUAGAACUCCAAAUAGCCAUAACCAAAGUAAAACUACACCCAGGCAUAUAAUAAUCACCAUCCCAGAAAUCCAACAUAAGAAUAGAAUAUUAAAAGCUGUCAGAGAGAAAAGACAGAUCACCUAUAAAGAAAACCUAUCACAGCAGACUUCUCAGCAUAAACAAUAAAGUCAAGAAGAGCAGGGAGUGAAACAUUUCAGAUCCUAAAGGAAAAUGAUUUCCAACCUAGACUGAUGUACCCUGGAAAACUGUCCUUCAAAAUUGAUGGAGAAAUAAGAUACUUCCAUGACAAAGAACAGCUGAAGAACUUCAUGAUCACCAUGCCAGCCCUGCAAAGAAUACUGAAAGACAGUUUAGAUACACUUAGGAAAAAACCACUAAGCAAAGCAGACAAACAGAAUGGAAAGUUAAAGAUGCAACAGCAGAAAGAUAACAUGUCAACAAUAAAUAAAUAUAUAACAGUUAUAACCAUUAAUGUAAAUGGUCUCAAUACACCAAUUAAAAGAAACAGACUGGCAGAAUGUAUCAAGAAACAACAUCCAACCAUAUGCUGUUUACAAGAAACCCAUCUAACCCAAAAGGAUACUCACAGACUGAAAGUCAAAGAAUGGAAAACAAUACUUCAUGCAACAGGAACCCAAAAAACAGCAGGGGCAGCUACUAUGUUUGCAGACAAUGUGAACUUCAAACCAAGAAUGAUCAGAAGAGAUAAAAGAAGAUCAUUACAUACUGGUUAGGGGAAAACUUCAAGAGAAAGAGAUAACAAUCUUAAAUAUACAUGCACCAAAUUCCAGAGCACCCAGUUAUAUAAAGCAAGUAUUAAUAGAAAUGAAAAAACAAAUUAGCAAUAACACAAUUAUAACAGGAGACCUUAACACACCAUUGACACCAAGGGACAGAUCAACCAGACAGAAAAUCAGCAAAGAAAUAACAGAACUGAAUCACACCUGUGAACAAAUGGACUUGAUAGACAUAUACAGAGUGUUCCAUCUAACAACAUCAGAAUGCACAUUCUUCUCAGCAGUACAUGGGACAUUCUCUAAAAUAGGCCAUAUACUAGCCCACAGAACAUAUUUAAAUAAAUGCAAAAGAGUUGAAAUUAUCCCAUGCAUGUUAUCGGAUCAUAGCACCAUGAAACUAGAAAUUAAUGAUAAAUGAUGUGGCAAAAUUCCCACAAACACAUGGAAACUGAAUAACAUACUCUUGAGUAAUCAGUGGGUCACAGGGGAAAUUAAAGAAGAAAUUAAACAAUACCUACAAGCAAGUGAAAAUACAAAUACAACUUACUGGAAUCUGUGGAAUGCAAUGAAAGCUGUCCUCAGAAGAAAAUUUAUUGCACUGAGUUCCCACAUCAGGAAAACAGAAUGAAUACAUACACCUCAAACAUCUAGAAAAAGAAGAGCAAGUCAAGCCCAAAGCCAAAAGAAGGGAGGAAAUUAUAAAAAUCAGAGCAGAAAUUAAUGCAAUAGAGACUAAGAAAACAAUCCAAAGAAUCAACGAAUCAAAGAGUUGGUUCUUUGAAAGAAUAAAUAAAAUUGAUAGGCCCCUAGCCAACCUUAUUAAAAAAAGGGAAGAAGAAACUCAAAUUCCUGCAAUAAGGAAUGAAAAAGGCAAAAUCACUACAGACUCUGUAGAAAUACGGAAGAUCAUUAACACCUAUUUCGAAAACCUCUACUCUCAUAGGUUUGAUAAUACAGAAGAGAUUGAUAGAUUCCUAGAAACAUAUGAAGUACCAAAGCUAGGUCAAGAAGUUGUGAAACUGCUGAAUAACCCAAUUUCUAUUAAUGAAAUUGACAAUGUAAUUAAGUCCUUACUUACAAAGAAGAGCCCAGGCCCAGACAGAUUCAUUGCGGAAUUCUACAAGAAAUACAAAGAAGACCUAAUGCCGACACUCCUCCAACUCUUCAAUGAAAUUGAAAGGGAAGCAAUCCUUCCUAAGUCAUUCCUGGAAGCAAAUAUUACUCUAGUAUCAAAACCCGAGAAAGACCCAACUAAAAAGGAGAACUACAGGCCAGUCUCCCUAAUGAACACAGAUACAAAAAUCCUCAAUAAAAUAUUGGCAAAUAGGAUGCAGCAAAUAAUCAAGAAGAUUAUACACCAUGACCAAGUGGGAUUCAUCCCAGGCAUGCAGGGAUGGUUCAACAUAUAUAAAUCAAUAAAUGUAAUCCACCAUAUCAAUAAAGCCAAAAGUAAAAAUCACACGAUCAUUUCUGUAGAUGCAGAAAAAGCUUUGGAUAAGGUCCAACAUUCAUUCAUGAUAAGAACCUUACAGAAAAUUGGAAUAGAUGGUCUUAACCUCAAUAGGAUAAAGGCCAUCUAUGACAAACCAACAUCCAGUAUCAUACUAAAUGGCCAAAAACUGAAGGCUUUUACCUUAAAAUCAGGCACAAGAAAAGGAUGUCCCUUAUAACCACUCCUAUUUAAAAUAGUACUGGAAAUACUAGCCAGAGCAAUUAGACAAGAGAGAGAAAUAAAAGGGAUAAAGAUAGGCAAAGAAGUUAAAUUAUCAUUAUUUGCGGAUGACAUGAUAAUCUACAUAGAAGACCCCCAAAACUCCAUUGAAAGACUCCUAGAUAUAAUAAAUUCAGCAAUGCAGCUGGACACAAAAUCAAUACUCAAAAAUUAAUAACAUUUCUAUACACUAACAACAAAAUCAGAGAGAGAGAGAGAGAGAGAGAGAGAAAUAAUAAAAGCCACACCCUUCACACUAGCAACCAAAAAAAUGAAAUAUUUAGGAAUUAUUCUCACAAAAGAAGUGAAAGAUCUAUAUAAGGAAAAUUAUAAUACACUGAAAAAAGAAAUUGAAGAGGAUCUCAGAAAAUGGAAAGACAUUCCUUACUCAUGGAUAGGAAGAAUAAAUAUUGUGAAAAUGGUCAUUCUCUCAAAACUGUUACACAGAUUCAAUGCAAUCCCAAUAAAAAUACCAUCAACAUACCACAUAGACCUAGAGAAAUCACCCCGAAAAUUCAUCUGGAACCAGAAGAGACCUAGAAUAGCAAAGACAGUUCUAAACAGCAAAGGACAAGGCAGGAGGCAUCACAAUCCUUGACUUGAAGUUAUACUACAAAGCAACUGUAGUAAAAUCAACAUGGUACUGGAAUCAAAACAGAGCUGAAGAUCAAUGGAAUAGAUUAGAAGAUACAGCCACAACUACAAACACACUCAACCACCUUAUCUUUGAUAAAGGGGCCAAACAUGCUCACUGGAAGAACAACAGUCUCUUUAAUAAAUGGUGUUGGAAAAACUUGCUCUCCAUAUGCCGAAAAUUGAGACUAGACCCAUGCCUAUCAUCAUGUACUAAAUUAAAAUCUAACUGGAUCAAAGGUCUGAAUAUUAAAACGGAAACACUAAAUCUAUUGGAAGACAAGUUGGGUAAAAACCUUGAAGACAUAGGGGUAGGUGGAGAAUUCAUGAACAGGAAUCAAACUGCAUGGGAAAUACUUCCCAGAAUCAACAACUGGGAUCAUGUCUUAUUAAAAAGUUUCUGCAUGUCAAAAGAAAUCUCUAGCAUAGUGAAAACAAAACCUACAAACUAGGAAACAAUCUUAGUGAACUGUCCCUAAGACAAAGGACUUCUGUCUAAAACAUAUAAAGAAUUAAAAAAAAAUCAGACCCCCAAAAUUCAAGAAUUCAAUCAAAAAAUGGGCAUCUGAGAUGAAUAUGCAAUUCUCAGAUGAAGAAAUACAAAUGGCAAAUAAAUACAUGAAAAAAUGUUCAUCAUCAUUAGUCAUUAGAGAAAUGCAAAUUAAAACUACACUGAGAUUUCACCUCACUCCAGAAAGAUUGGCCAGGACCAAGAAAACUAUCAACAACAAACGCUGGAGAGGCUGUGGGGAAAGGGGAACUCUCCUGUACUGUUGAUGGGAGUGUAGACUUGUGGAGGUCAGUCUGGAAAUCUCUCAGAAAGCUGGGAUUGGAAGUCCCAUUUGUUCCAGCUAUUCCACUUCUAGGCAUAUUCCCAGAAGAACUGAAAACAUCAUACUAUAGUGAUAUAAGUGUACCCAUGUUUAUAGCAGCACAAUUUGUAAUAGCCAGAUCUUGGAAACAACUUAAGUGUCCACCAACUGAGGAAUGGAUAAAAAAGUUGUGGUAUUUUUAUGCAAUGGAGUACUACUCAGCUAUAAAGAAUGAUCACAUUGAGAUAUUUAUAAAUAAAUGGAUGCAGCUUGAGAACAUACUCAUAAGCGAAAUAAAUCAAACUCACAUGUAUAAAUAUCAAAUAGUUUCCCUAGUGUAAGAAAUGGUAAGAAUACAUAAAAGUAUGUGGUAAUCAUGAUUCCCCAUUAUAUUGCUUUGAAGCCUUAUGUUUUCUUUCAUUAAAUGGAAUGUUUUUUGUUAUACUAAGAUGCUGAAAAAUUAAAAUAGUUGAUUAAAAGAUAAUUAACAAAAAUAGUUACUUAAAAAGAUAGUUAUUAGUAAUAUUGUCAUUCUGUACUGAGCUCAUUACCCUAGUAACCAAGCACCAACCACAUAGUUAUAAAUUAACUGACCGCGUCGUUCUGCUGUUCUGUAAUGCGUCAUCCCCCCCACCUUAGUGACCUGUGUGCUAUGUCAACUUUUGUUCCCCUUGUAAGAGACAAAUGAUGCUGUGUCAACCAUUGUUCCCUUUAUGAGAGAUAAAUGUUCCUGGGAUUGUCAGACCAAGGGCUAUGAGUUGGCUAACCACCCACUGUGAAAUGCCUCUUACCUCAAGCAAAGGGGAACAAAGGCCCACCUUAUUUCUGUUUCUCAUCACUAUGUACUUAAUGAUCAAUGAGCUAAUCAUAAAUGAACUAUAAAAAUCAGUCAAAAUUCUGACUCAGUUGCACAGCUUUGCAAAUUCCAUCUGCACUGUGUCGCUGGGCCAGCUAAAAUAAAA